Molecule: ribosomal RNA, 117 nt
Filed under: Dorea formicigenerans ATCC 27755
Lineage: Bacteria; Bacillati; Bacillota; Clostridia; Lachnospirales; Lachnospiraceae
Source: RNAcentral
CGGUGGCGAUGCGCUUAGGGGUAACACCCGUUCCCAUCCCGAACACGAUGGUUAAGACCUAAGCGGCCGAUGGUACUUUACUGGAGACGGUACGGGAGAGUAGGUGGCUGCCGGGCU